Molecule: long non-coding RNA, 1032 nt
Organism: Lytechinus pictus (painted urchin)
Lineage: Eukaryota; Metazoa; Echinodermata; Echinoidea; Temnopleuroida; Toxopneustidae
Exons: 3
Source: RefSeq, a predicted model, not a curated record
UUUGAUCAUGACAUAAAAUCAUGCAUAGCUUAUGCCGUUGACAUAAAUUUCGUUGCAUAAAAAUAUUUAUGUAUUGUUUUAGCUUAUGACGUGAAUUAAUCAUCAUUACAUAAACUGAAUAGUCAUGAACGAGCCUGUUGACAUAAACUUUGCAUAAGUCGUCAUUUUUCAGCCACAGCAAGUUCUUGCGAAAAAGGGUCAUCGGCUUCCCAUUUUGACGGGAUAGAGGCAUAUUUUGUUGAACCACACAAACGAUGAGAAGAGGUAGAAAUAAAGAGGGGGAUUGCAACUGGAAGGAGAUGGAAGUCCACACACUCUGCCACUGUGUGCCAUUGAACAAGAAAUCUCUUUUAGUAUGAAGAUUGUUCAAGAGACAAGACUAAUGAAGACGUGACGUCAUGGACCUGGUUGCACAUGGCAAGUGAACUAUCUGACUGUACCCUGAAGUAUUCUCUUUAAGAUUUGAAAAUUAACAAAAGUACUAAUUUUCAUUUUUUCAGAGAUAAUAAUCAUUAUAUUGACAUUGUGGAUAUCUUUUUAUGAUUGUUAUCAUAAAAUUAUUAUGUUAAUGAUGAUAGGUCAUAAUAAUACAAAUGAAUAAUAAGUAGAAAAGAAGACAACCAAAAAGGAGGAGGAAAAGAAGAAGAUGAAGAAGAAAAAGAAGAGGAGGAGUGGAAGAGGAGAAAAGGAGAAGAAGAAUAAAUAACAUCACUGUGAGUUCCUCUUCAUGAUAUUACAUAAAUUUUUGUCUCUUUUAAAUGGAAAUAUUUAUUAAGCAUAAAAAUAGGAUUUAGUUAUUCUUGUUUUUUAAGAUGUAUUAUUAUGUAUCAUGUUUGUAGUUGUACACUUGAUUGAGGUACAUGUAUUGUAUUCAUUUAGGAUAUAACUAUGUUUUAUUUGAAUCCAUGUACCUCUUUAAAUCAUAUUUAUACAGUCAUGAUUAAAGGACAUGGGAAAGGUAACAAGAUUGCAUUGUUUUACAAAUUUUACUGUGUAUUUAUUUUAAAAGUAAUAAAUUUACAUAAAAUGUCA